This 1479-nucleotide long non-coding RNA is filed under the name Bemisia tabaci. Its description in RNAcentral is "lncRNA ENSSSA1NGG014455". The record is from RNAcentral. Lineage: Eukaryota; Metazoa; Arthropoda; Insecta; Hemiptera; Aleyrodidae.
AUAACCUUCACGAAAGCAUGGUUUCUCAAUUCUCAGUUACUGAUAAAAUCGUAAACGAAGCGGUCGGUUCGCGGGUUUGGUGUGUUUUGAACAGUUUUAACGAAUUAAUAUUCUGUUUUAUUACAUAAUAUUAAAUUAAAAAUUGAUAUCCGAAAGUAAUUCCUCUUUUUGCGGAGGCAUUCAUCCUCCCAGGUGUCACUUUUUCUUGAAAGAGCUCCGAUGUUUUGAAGACCUGCAUCACAGACAAUCUAUGUUGGUCAAAUUUUUGGGCUCCUUCAACAGGAUAUAUAAACACUUUAAAAGGUGUAAUAUCACGGAUAGAACAUCGCAUACAAGUUAUCUGCUGUACUACAAAACAAAAUAUCUUAUUGAAAGUAACGUAACUUUUUCAAUGGCUAGUCAAGAAGACCCUGUCAAUAUUUUGACAGAAGACCCUGACAACAUUAAGAAAGAAGAUCCUGUCAAUAUUAAGACAGAAGAUCCUGUCAAAAUUAAGACAGAAGAUCCAACUGUCGAAAUGAAUAUUGAUGUCCCAGCAACGAUUCCAAGUGAUGGAAGUCGUUCACCCAGUCCAAGCGGUAAAAUUAAAAAGCAAAAAAAAAUUGAAAAUUCAAAGGAAAUGAAGAAACGUACCCAUGAGAGGGAUAUUUCCGUUCAGCAUUUUUCAACUGAUGACAUGAUUAAAAUCUCCCUGGUAAUGUUCAGUGAUUUUAUUGCAAGUCACACUCAGAAGGCAAUUGAAAACCCUUCAGCAGAAAACGCACAAGAGCCUGGUGAAAAGAAGCACGUUGAAGUGCAGUGCUCCGAAAAUUGGGGGGACUCCAUGUUUGUUUACGACGUUCCUCAAGAUGAAUCUACGCCCGACAGUGACGGACCUGGAACCAAAAAUGAGUCUGGUGAAGCUGGGAAUACAUCGGCUGCUCAUGAUGGCGACCUCGCAGGAGAUCAGGUAUUUAAAAUGAUCAAAAUUAGUUAAACAUCUCAAGCAUGCAUUUUCAAGCUUCAAAAAGAUCUGAUCGCGAAACCCCGGGCAUAACGGUAAGGAAAAUAGAAUAUUAAAGUCAUCUGGGAAACAUCUGUUUACAUGAGCGGAUCAAUAUUUACCCAGAUUUGAAGCGUUCAUCUUCUACCUUCAUUUCGGCGUGUGAAGCAAUGAAAGUCAGUAUGCAAUCAUAAAUUCGUUAAGUCGAAUGGAGCGUUUAUCUCAUUAAUUCAUUUUGGGGUUGUCUUUUCACAUGCUAAAAUGCCGGAUUUGAUUCUUCAUUGCAGUUUUUCAAAAUUAUCUCGUACAGCUGUUUUAUAUUAUUGUCCAGUCUUGCAUUUGUGGGAAUUUUUUCUGCUGCUAAGUAUGAGCAUUCGACGAAAUUUUUGGGGGACAAAGUUUCAAAAGUAAUGUAACGUCAAAAUAUUGGACAACUUAACUUCAGAAAUGGCUUUUCAUACAUCUGCGCAGUAAAUAUUAAUGGAGUAUAGUCAAUA